RNAcentral lists this long non-coding RNA (1858 nucleotides) under Homo sapiens (human). RNAcentral describes it as "HSALNT0167494". The record is from RNAcentral. Lineage: Eukaryota; Metazoa; Chordata; Mammalia; Primates; Hominidae.
GAAAUGGAAAUAAUAAAACUAAACAAAUUAGAAAAAAAUAACAAAUUAGAAAAAAUAAAAAGUAUUAAGUAGUUCUUGUAGAUUAAAUGGGUAAAGUGUCAGCUCAGCCAGAAAAGUACAAAUUAGUAAAUUCGUAAUUGAAUAGGCAAUACAUAAAAUCAAUGAGAUUUGAAAAGAGUUAUCAGUUUGCUGCAAAAAAUGUGAUUAAUAUAUGCCCAGCUCCUUAUAAAGAUAAAAAAUUAUGAAACUGACACUUUUAACAGAGAAUAUUCCAGAUUGGUUAUGAGAAAUAACCCACAAACUAAGAAUAACCAAUUAAAAUGGCAUUUGCUUGUGAAAGCUUUCAUGAGACUUUUCCAAACUGUCAAAGAACAUAUACUCCUGGCCGGGUGUGGUGGCUCACGCCUGUAAUCCCACCACUUUGGGAGGCCGAGGCAGGCGGAUCACAGAGUCAGGAGUUCGAGACCAGCCUGGCCAACAUGGUGAAACCCCGUCUCUACUUAAAAAAUACAAAAAUUAACCAGGCAUGGUGGCACAUGCCUGUAAUCCCAGCUACUCAGGAGGCUGAGACAGGAGAAUUGCUUGAACCCAGGAGGCAGAGGUUGCAGUGAGCCGAGAUCGAGCCACUGCACUCCAGCCUGGGUGGCAGAGCAAGACUCCAUCUCAAAAAACAAAACAAAACAAAACAAAAAACCCCUAUACUCCCAAAAUAUAGAAAAUGAUCAUAAGACACUAAUUCAUUUAAUGAAGUAAACAGGAUUUUCAUUUUAAAAAUAAAAUUAUGUAAGAAAGAUGAUGCAAGAGGAUGUAAGAUAAUGUAGGUGAUUUUUUUAUGAGUAUAGAUGCAAAAAUCCGAAUAAAAUCUUAGAAAACUGAAUAGAGAAAUAUUUUGAAUAAUUGUUCAUGUAACUCCAGAAUUUCAAAGUUGAUGUAAUAGUUACAAAACACAUUACAUUAAUAAGAAAUAAUAAAAUCUUUUGUCACUAUAAUAUAUACCAAAAAGGCAUUUAAAAUACACUUUCUAUUUCAAAAAAACUAAAAGAAUUUUUUAAAAGGGUAUGUUUUAAAACCCAACAUAAUAUUUGAUGAAGAAGAGUCGUAUAAAACCCCAGAAUAUUAGAGCUGUAUGGGGCCUUAAAAGUUAUUAAAUUCUGGCCCCAUGUUUUACAGAUGAAAAAAACACAGCCAGGAAGAUGAAAUGACUUACCCAAGGUCACUGAGCUUGAUGGUAGGUCUUUUGACUACUAGUCUGGCUCUAUUACCUGUUAGUUUCCUUAUGCAUAGAAACAAGGGUGCCACCUUCAUUACUAGUCUUCAACAUAAUACUAAAGAGCUCUUAGAAAAGGAAAGGAUCUUGAAGUAGCUGAAUCCAAUCCAUUUGCCCCUGCUUCUGCAUCUCAGGUGAGCCAUCAUCCAGUCAUUCAUCUGCUUCUGCUUCCGAUAUUUGGGGAAUCCUUUACUUAGGAGUGCUGAUCCUUUUGGAAAUCUCCACUUCUUGAAAGAUGGUUCUGUGUAAUUAACCAAAAUCUGCCUUUCUGGAUAAUCCUGGAAUUGUCACUCCAGUAGCUUCCAAGAUAGAAUGUGUGACGGUGUGCACAGGCCUCUGUUAAAGGGUAGGGGAGAAAAUUUCUAUGUAUGUUAGUUUUUUAUCUUAAAAAAAUUAGCUUUUGUGAGGCUGGGCGUGGUGGCUCACGCCUGUAAUCCCAGCACUUUGGGAGGCCGAGGCGGGCAGAUCACGAGGUCUGGAGAUUGAGACCGUCCUGGCUAACACAGUGAAACCCCGUCUCUACUAAAAAUACAAAAAAUUAGCUGGGCGUGGUGGCGGGCGCCUGUAGUCCCAGCUAUUCGGGAGGUGAGG